RNAcentral lists this transfer RNA (76 nucleotides) under Camelus bactrianus (Bactrian camel). It matches the Rfam family "tRNA". Rfam says of the family: Transfer RNA (tRNA) molecules are approximately 80 nucleotides in length. Their secondary structure includes four short double-helical elements and three loops (D, anti-codon, and T loops). Further hydrogen bonds mediate the characteristic L-shaped molecular structure. tRNAs have two regions of fundamental functional importance: the anti-codon, which is responsible for specific mRNA codon recognition, and the 3' end, to which the tRNAs corresponding amino acid is attached (by aminoacyl-tRNA synthetases). tRNAs cope with the degeneracy of the genetic code in two manners: having more than one tRNA (with a specific anti-codon) for a particular amino acid; and 'wobble' base-pairing, i.e. permitting non-standard base-pairing at the 3rd anti-codon position. Lineage: Eukaryota; Metazoa; Chordata; Mammalia; Artiodactyla; Camelidae. The record is from Rfam by way of RNAcentral. RNAcentral also lists the same sequence under 3 other names.
GAGUGUGUAGCUCAGUGGCAGAGCGCAUGCCUGAAAUGCAGGAAGGAGGUCCUGGGUUCAACCCCCAGUGCCUCCA